Chrysemys picta bellii (western painted turtle) is the source of this 2027-nucleotide non-coding RNA. The record is from RefSeq and is a predicted model, not a curated record. Lineage: Eukaryota; Metazoa; Chordata; Testudines; Emydidae.
AACCUCACUCGGCACCAGGUCACUCACACCAACACCCCUCUGCCAUUGCCAGGGCCUGAGGGGCUUCUUGGAGCUAGUGGGCCUGACAAAGCACCAGCAGAUGCAGACCAGCGAGUGGUCCUGUCCCCCUGAUGACCAGCAGAGACUGUGUGGGGUGGGGAAGGGAACUUGGUUGAGCAGCGUGGGGAAGAGCAGACCGGUGGUAGUAAAUUUAGAGAAUUGUCACAGCGUACUCCAUUAGGGAGCUACCCCCUUUUCCCCCAUGUAGGUGGGAUCCAACUAUGUGUCUCUGUCCCACACACACUCAAGCAUCUAGCUGGGAUGCAGCCAGGACAACCCCCUCCCCUCCAUCUAGAUGGGACCCAGCCAGGAACUUCUCCCCACACCUACCUCGGUUCCAGCCAGCAGGUGACCCUUGGGUGACAUCUAGAGGUGGGAUUUGCAGUCCUGUGGGGCCGGGCAGGACAGGACUGACUGGUCCAUGUAAUUGAAAGAAGACUCAGGAACUGCUCAUGCCAUCGAUUUUAAAUAGAAAUAUGAUGAAGAAGAACUACGUACCUAAUGUGAAACAAAGGUCUGUCUAGUCAGGUGUUUCUUUGCUAUUAAAGAAGCUGAUGGGUUCAGACGGCAUGUGGAGAAGCCAGUGUGAAGUGUCAAUCUUUAAGGUGAACCUGUGAAAAUGUUCUAAGCCCUAACUGUCUGUAAGGCGGUCGCGGCUCUCUCCCCGUCCGUCAGGAGGCUGUGCAGUCCCAUCUGCGCUUGAGCCGUAGGAAUUGGGAUACCUACAGGCAGAUUUCUCGAGGCUUGUGUGAAAAGGGCUGUGGUCAGGACACGCUGCAGUGCAGAGCGAAGAUAAAGGAGAUAAGGCAGGCAUACCAUAAGGCGAGGGAGGUGAACUGUCGUUCAGGUGCUUCACCUAAGACCUGCUGGUUCUAUAAGGAGCUGGACGCUAUCCUCGGUGGCAACCCCACCUCCAUUGCCAAGAGCCCCGUGGAUACUUCAGAGGGCAUGGGGCGGCGGAAAGAGGACCUAAGCCAGAGGAUGAAGUUAUUGAUGAAGAGUGGAGUUAGAUGAGGAUGUGCAGCUCCUGGCGGGGUCGCCCAGUGGGGCAGGAAGCCAGGAACUGUUCUCCACUCCAGAGGUGUCUAGCCAGACUCAGCAGUUGCUCUCAAGGGAGCAAGAAGCAGGAGGUGAGAUGCCUGAUGUGGCCUUCAGGAACACCCCACGCAUGCUGGCCGAGCGUCUCCACCAGAUAAGAAAGUGCCCAAGAUGCAGCAAAGAAGACAUGUUCCGGGAGGUCCAGCAGUGCUCCAAUGCAGAAAAAAGGGAACACAAGGAGUGCUGGAAAGCCGAACAGCAGGACAGAAAAGAGAAUCACACCUUUGUUAAAGAUGCAAUUGAGCGGAUGAUUAAAGUAACGGAGGAGCAAACACAGAUGCUGAAGUCCUUAAUAAUGCUGCAGACUGAGGCCUUGCCUACACUACAGGGGAAAUUCGCUCUAAGCAACGCAAUUUGAGUUACGUGAAUAGCAUAACUCAAAUCGACAUAGCUUAGAUCUAUUUACCCAGGGGUCCACACUACGUGAUGUCGACGGGAGACAUUCUCCUGUCGACUCCCCCAUUCUUCUCGAUCUGGUGGACAGGAGUCAACGGGAGAGCGAUCUGCGGUCAAUUUAGCGGGUCUUUACUAGAGCCACUAAAUCGACCGACAAUGCAUUGAUCACCACUCAUAGAUCCCCGGUAAGUGUAGACAAGCCCUGAGCAGAUCAGUGCUCGACCUCCACUGCAGCACAUUCAGAACUCUUUCCCAUGCGCCAACCCCCCAAACUCCGCCCACAAUUCCUUUCCACUUUCCAGCACUUCUCAGUUUCCCAUUCACUCCACCCACUCGGACAACUUUCCCAAUGAUAGCUGGACCUACACAUAGCUGUGAAAGUCUUCCCUUCCCUGGUUCCUACUUUCUCACCAAGCAUCUGUGUGUUUGUGUGUGCUGUUUCUUGUGCAAUAAAAGCAAAGUUUUAUAAUGUU